Podarcis muralis (Common wall lizard) is the source of this 611-nucleotide non-coding RNA. Lineage: Eukaryota; Metazoa; Chordata; Lepidosauria; Squamata; Lacertidae. The record is from RefSeq and is a predicted model, not a curated record.
GUCGCCACCCUCACGUUCGGCGCCCUGCGAUUGGCUAGGGUCUCCGGGAAGGCGGGGCUGGCCGCCAGGCACGUGCAGCUGAGGUGAUCCUUGAAUGGCAGGCUAACUGCAACAUCUUGGAAAGAAAAACAAGCACCACUUGCACAGGAUGUUCCUCUGAAUCCAGGAAAAGGACAAGCAACAUUCUCCCAACCCCAUUAUUGAGGGGGCUGUGGAGAUCAAAGCUGUUGUCACAAAGAGAAUGGGAAUGGGCUGACAGACAAAAAGUGUUCAAUCGUGUGGGAAGUUUUAGGAUGAAACUCAGCUUGUAUGGAAGACUGGUGGGUCUGCAUAGGAGAAAACAUAUAGAGAGGAACCUCCAAACUUCAGAGAGCUGUUCUUUUAACUGUGCUGACCUUCCAUCAGGUGUCAGACUGAUACUCUCAGGCUUGCUUUCCUCAUUUUCUUCUUCACCUUGGGAGAAGAGACAUCUUGGUACAGUAUGUCUCUCCUGCUGAGAACAAAGAGCAGGCAUGGUUCUUUGUAUCUCCAUCUUAGUUAGAUAGAAGAAAGGAUAUUUCCUAUCAGGUAUGUUUUCCCUUUAAUAAAAUUAGCUUUCUUAAUUUCCUAAA